Molecule: ribosomal RNA, 250 nt
Filed under: uncultured bacterium
Lineage: Bacteria
Description: partial 16S ribosomal RNA
Rfam family: Bacterial small subunit ribosomal RNA
Source: RNAcentral
GACAGAGGGUGCAAACGUUGUUCGGAAUUACUGGGCGUAAAGCGCGUGUAGGCUGCUCGGAAAGUCGGAUGUGAAAGCCCUGGGCUCAACCUAGGAAGUGCAUUCGAAACUUCCGAGCUGGAGUGCUGGAGAGGAAGGCGGAAUUCUCGGUGUAGAGGUGAAAUUCGUAGAUAUCGAGAGGAACACCGGUGGCGAAGGCGGCCUUCUGGACAGCCACUGACGCUGAGACGCGAAAGCGUGGGGAGCAAAC